GACCACUCAACUACGCCCUGUGUAAAGUGGCGCACGGCGUGAGUAACACCAUGGGUAACGUUCCCUCAUGCGGGGGAUGACCAUUCCGAAAGGACGGCUAAUACCUGCAUAUGACCACCGUCUCAAAAGAGGCUGAGGAAUAUCGCAGGCCUCUGCACGCUAGCUUGCACCUGAGCGAUCGGACCACGCCCCAUCAGCUAGAUGGUACGGUAACGGCCUACCUAGGCAAACACCGGUAGCUGGUCUGAGAGGAUGAUCAGAACACGCUGGAACUGAAAACUCCUCCAGACUCCUACGGGAGGCAAAUUUGGGGAAUCUUGCGAAAUGCUGCACAAAGCCUGACGCACCUGACACCAUCGAUGGGUGAUUGAAGGCCUUCCGGUUGUUAAGCCCUGAGGAGGAGAGACGAUUCAGGCGGAGCCAAUACCUCCGUUCUUUUUGGCAUCUCCUUAGCAAGUACCAGCUAACUCUGUGCCA
This 477-nucleotide ribosomal RNA is filed under the name uncultured soil bacterium. RNAcentral's name for it is "bacterial SSU rRNA". It matches the Rfam family "Bacterial small subunit ribosomal RNA", at positions 76 to 510 of the family's 1533-position model. The record is from RNAcentral.